AUCCUCCAAGGCUAAAUACUCCUGACUGACCGAUAGUGAACCAGUACCGUGAGGGAAAGGCGAAAAGAACCCCGGCGAGGGGAGUGAAAAAGAACCUGAAACCGUGUACGUACAAGCAGUGGGAGCCCCACCACUAAGCCAGUGGUGAACUCCACAUACGCAUCCUUUGCUGAGGAUACGGUUAACGGAGCGAAAGCGACGUUCAACCGCAAAAGAAGCAGAGGGGGCUUAGUGGUGGGGUGACUGCGUACCUUUUGUAUAAUGGGUCAGCGACUUAUAUUCUGUAGCAAGGUUAACCGAAUAGGGGAGCCGGAGGGAAACCGAGUCUUAAUUGGGCGUUAAGUUGCAGGGUAUAGACCCGAAACCCGGUGAUCUAGCCAUGGGCAGGUUGAAGGUUGGGUAACACUAACUGGAGGACCGAACCGACUAAUGUUGAAAAAUUAGCGGAUGACCUGUGGCUGGGGGUGAAAGGCCAAUCAAACCGGGAGAUAGCUGGUUCUCCCCGAAAGCUAUUUAGGUAGCGCCUCGUGAAUUCAUCUCCGGGGGUAGAGCACUGUUUCGGCUAGGGGGCCAUCCCGGCUUACCAACCCGAUGCAAACUGCGAAUACCGGAGAAUGUUAUCACGGGAGACACACGGCGGGUGCUAACGUCCGUCGUGAAGAGGGAAACAACCCAGACCGCCAGCUAAGGUCCCAAAGUCAUGGUUAAGUGGGAAACGAUGUGGGAAGGCCCAGACAGCCAGGAUGUUGGCUUAGAAGCAGCCAUCAUUUAAAGAAAGCGUAAUAGCUCACUGGUCGAGUCGGCCUGCGCGGAAGAUGUAACGGGGCUAAACCAUG
This 836-nucleotide ribosomal RNA is filed under the name Salmonella enterica. RNAcentral's name for it is "partial 23S ribosomal RNA". It matches the Rfam family "Bacterial large subunit ribosomal RNA", at positions 455 to 1191 of the family's 2925-position model. Lineage: Bacteria; Pseudomonadati; Pseudomonadota; Gammaproteobacteria; Enterobacterales; Enterobacteriaceae. The record is from RNAcentral.